GGGAAGUUAAUCUAAAUUAAAGACUAUUGAUUUCGACUCAAUAAAUUAUGAUUAAUUAUCAUAACUCCCCU
RNAcentral lists this transfer RNA (71 nucleotides) under Hypogeophis rostratus. RNAcentral describes it as "tRNA-Arg". Lineage: Eukaryota; Metazoa; Chordata; Amphibia; Gymnophiona; Indotyphlidae. The record is from RNAcentral.